RNAcentral lists this ribosomal RNA (506 nucleotides) under [Mycoplasma] phocae. RNAcentral's name for it is "bacterial LSU rRNA". It matches the Rfam family "Bacterial large subunit ribosomal RNA", at positions 1 to 498 of the family's 2925-position model. The record is from RNAcentral. Lineage: Bacteria; Bacillati; Mycoplasmatota; Mycoplasmoidales; Metamycoplasmataceae.
CUAUUAAACAAGAUAAGAGUUUUUGGUGGAUGCCUUGGGUCUGGAAGUCUAAGAAGGACGUGAUUACCUGCGAUAAGCCUCGGUUAGCUGGAAAUAAGCUGUUAUCCGGGGAUUUCCGAAUGGGGAAACCCAAUUGAGUUAAUCCUCAAUUAUCAUUUCGAUGAAUCCAUAGUCGAAUGAAGAGACACGCUGUGAAUUGAAACAGCUCAGUAGCAGCAGGAAAAGAAAAUAAAGAAUGAUUCCCUUAGUAGUGGCGAGCGAACGGGGAAAAGCCCAAACCAACAUUUGAUGUUGGGGUCGUAGGACUACUUACACGAAGUUAGAAAAAACUUAAACAUAGCAGAAUAAGUUGGAAUGCUUAAACAUAGAGGGUGAAAUUCCCGUAAGCGAAAUGAAUAAGUCUUCAAGUAGUAUCCUGAGUAGGGCGGGGCACGUGAAACCCUGUCUGAACCCGCCGGGACCACCCGGUAAGGCUAAAUACUAACCAGACACCGAUAGUGAACUAG